This 254-nucleotide ribosomal RNA is filed under the name uncultured bacterium. RNAcentral describes it as "partial 16S ribosomal RNA". It matches the Rfam family "Bacterial small subunit ribosomal RNA", at positions 524 to 776 of the family's 1533-position model. The record is from RNAcentral.
GACGUAGGGCGCGAGCGUUGUCCGGAUUUAUUGGGCGUAAAGAGCUCGUAGGCGGCUUGUCGCGUCGACUGUGAAAACCCGAGGCUCAACUUCGGGCUUGCAGUCGAUACGGGCAGGCUAGAGUUCGGUAGGGGAGACUGGAAUUCCUGGUGUAGCGGUGAAAUGCGCAGAUAUCAGGAGGAACACCAAUGGCGAAGGCAGCACUCUGGGACGUGACUGACGCUGAGACGCGAAAAGCGUGGGGAGCAAACAGG